GGACAAAACUUUUCGACGAUUAUAAAUGAAAAGUCAUGAUUUAAAUGUUAUUUUAACUCCGAUUUUGAUAAUUUUUUACAGCUACACUCAUUGGCCCUAUAUGAAUACAAUGAACAAAUUCGAUCGUCAAUUUCAAAUAUAUAUGAGUAUAUAUAUUAUAUUAUAAAAUAAUAUAUAUUUGCGCGAUGAGAGGUAUCCUGUCG
This 203-nucleotide long non-coding RNA is filed under the name Prunus persica (peach). Its description in RNAcentral is "long non-coding RNA (PPER_LNC008321)". The record is from RNAcentral. Lineage: Eukaryota; Viridiplantae; Streptophyta; Magnoliopsida; Rosales; Rosaceae.